This 1336-nucleotide long non-coding RNA is filed under the name Equus caballus (horse). RNAcentral describes it as "lncRNA (ENSECAG00000044094.1)". Lineage: Eukaryota; Metazoa; Chordata; Mammalia; Perissodactyla; Equidae. The record is from RNAcentral.
GUAUGUCCUCAGGCAGUCGACGCGGCACAGCCACCGUGAAACAUAAUAGGACCUUGUCUUUCUAUGGGGCCUUUCAUUCUGAAAACCAGGGCAGUUUUAGCAGCCUUGGGAGGCCCCCCCAUAUUCCCUUUUCAGACGGGUAAACUGAGGGACUGUCGAGGAAGGGAACCAGCCCAGGGCUCUGGUCGGGUUAUCCAUCAGCGCUACUGGCCUAGAACUGGAUUCUGAAGAAAUGUCCUUUGGAUUUGCCGUACCUUCUUGGAGGUGGUCAGAAGGGGGCUCAGCCAGCCUGCCCAGCUUAAGGAGCAGCGGGAGAUUCCGAUGCAGCGGGCCUGGGGCCGGGCCCACAACUCUGCCUUUGCAACCAGCAGCAAGCUGGUGCCGUUGCUGCCGGUCCUCAGCCCACACUCGGAGCAGAGAGUCACCCAACCGCCACCUGUGAAAUGCCAUCGUGUCAUUGCCACCACCAUCCCUGGGGUGCCGUUUGAAGAACAAAUUCUCUUGUUUUGUAUCAGGGCGCUUUGUAAGCUGUGAAGUCCUGUACAAUUAUGUAUUUCUGUAAAAAGAUGACCAAGAAUAUGAUUGAGCGGCGGUAUUUGAAGCCAAAGGACUUGGUUUAGGACCAAGUUCUAGCUCCUCUCACCAGCUAAGGAUGUCUUAGGUGAACACCUCCUUUCUCGGAGCCUGUAAAGUGGGGACGAUGGUGCUACCUCACGGGCUAGCUGUGAAGAUAAAUCAAACGCGAUCAUCGAGGGAAACAGCAGCGGGAAGAGCCCGCACACGGGAGACACCCGGUCGCAUUCUUCCUCCUGACCAUUGUCCCGUUUACAGGGUGCGAACGGUCGGGGGAGGCUGCCGCUCUUCUUUCCCCUCUCAUCCUGGAGUCCAACCUGCCAGGUCGUGAUGUAAGGGCCACUUGGUCCCCAAGGUCCGCCCAGGCUGCUCCAUGUUCCAACUGUCCUGGAGGCUGGACCACCAGUUCCUCCGCCGCGUCCCUGAGGGCGCGUGUGCCUCCACCUGCAGCUGCCCGGGGGCCUGUGAGCGAGACCUCAGCCACCGCCUCCUGGAGCUGGGGGUUUGGGCAAGAGGGAGGCCAGCAGCUCAGCGUUUCGUUUCCCUUGGGAAACUACCUGCUGCCUGAAGGUGCUUGGGGUUUGGUGGGAGCGCGGUCAGUCUCCAUGGCGAUGAGGUUUGUGGGUGUAAGCCAGCGGUGAGGGCCUGGCGCCUGCUGGAUCGGGGGGGCAGGCUCAGAGCUCCCACCCGCUCCCGGGCCUACACGGAGGGGUCUUCCGCCCACAGUGGCUUUUCCUCCACCCCCACCCCCAGCAUCCCGCCC